GAUGAACGCUAGCGGCAGGCCUAAUACAUGCAAGUCGGACGGGAUUCAGGAGCUUGCUUCUGAUGAGAGUGGCGCACGGGUGCGUAACACGUAUGUAACCUACCUUUAUCAGGGGGAUAGCCUCUCGAAAGAGAGAUUAAGCCCGCAUAAAAUCACAGCACAGCAUUGUGUAAUGAUCAAAUAUUUAUAGGAUAAAGAUGGGCAUGCGGAACAUUAGCUAGAUGGCGGGGUAACGGCCCACCAUGGCGACGAUGUUUAGGGGAUCUGAGAGGAUGGCCCCCCACACUGGUACUGAGACACGGACCAGACUCCUACGGGAGGCAGCAGUAAGGAAUAUUGGUCAAUGGGCGGAAGCCUGAACAGCCAUGCCGCGUGCAGGAAGACGGCCCUACGGGUUGUAAACUGCUUUUAUACGGGAAUAAACCCAGAUACGUGUAUCUGGCUGAAUGUACUGUAAGAAUAAGGAUCGGCUAACUCCGUG
Molecule: ribosomal RNA, 481 nt
Filed under: uncultured bacterium
Lineage: Bacteria
Description: partial 16S ribosomal RNA
Rfam family: Bacterial small subunit ribosomal RNA
Source: RNAcentral